This 80-nucleotide transfer RNA is filed under the name Bifidobacterium sp. CP2. RNAcentral's name for it is "tRNA-Leu". It matches the Rfam family "tRNA". From Rfam's summary of the family: Transfer RNA (tRNA) molecules are approximately 80 nucleotides in length. Their secondary structure includes four short double-helical elements and three loops (D, anti-codon, and T loops). RNAcentral also lists the same sequence under 1 other name. The record is from RNAcentral. Lineage: Bacteria; Bacillati; Actinomycetota; Actinomycetes; Bifidobacteriales; Bifidobacteriaceae.
GCCCCCGUGGCGGAAUCGGUAGACGCAGUCGACUUAAAAUCGAUCGCCAAGGCGUGCGGGUUCGAGUCCCGCCGGGGGCA